RNAcentral lists this ribosomal RNA (403 nucleotides) under uncultured bacterium. Its description in RNAcentral is "bacterial SSU rRNA". It matches the Rfam family "Bacterial small subunit ribosomal RNA", at positions 506 to 906 of the family's 1533-position model. The record is from RNAcentral.
UGCCAGCAGCCGCGGUAAUACGUAGGGUGCGAGCGUUGUCCGGAAUUACUGGGCGUAAAGAGCUCGUAGGCGGUUUGUCACGUCGUCUGUGAAAUCCUAGGGCUUAACCCUGGACGUGCAGGCGAUACGGGCUGACUUGAGUACUACAGGGGAGACUGGAAUUUCUGGUGUAGCGGUGGAAUGCACAGAUAUCAGGAAGAACACCGAUGGCGAAGGCAGGUCUCUGGGUAGUAACUGACGCUGAGGAGCGAAAGCAUGGGUAGCGAACAGGAUUAGAUACCCUGGUAGUCCAUGCCGUAAACGGUGGGCGCUAGGUGUGGGGUUCCUUCCACGGGCUCCGCGCCGUAGCUAACGCAUUAAGCGCCCCGCCUGGGGAGUACGGCCGCAAGGCUAAAACUCAAAG